RNAcentral lists this ribosomal RNA (973 nucleotides) under uncultured Armatimonadota bacterium. Its description in RNAcentral is "bacterial SSU rRNA". It matches the Rfam family "Bacterial small subunit ribosomal RNA", at positions 8 to 1005 of the family's 1533-position model. Lineage: Bacteria; Bacillati; Armatimonadota. The record is from RNAcentral.
AGAGUUUGAUCCUGGCUCAGGACGAACGCUGGCGGCGUGCCUAAAACAUGCAAGUCGAACGAGGCCUUUGGCCUAGUGGCGAACGGCGGAGUAAUACAUAAGCAACCUGCCCCGAAGACCGGGAUAGCCCCUUGAAAGAGGGAUUAAUACCGGAUGUUGUCCGAGGAGGGCAUCCUUUUUGGACUAAAACGCGCAAGCGGCUUUGGGAGGGGCUUGUGGCCUAUCACCUUGUUGGUGGGGUAACGGCUCACCAAGGGUUCGACGGGUAGCUGGUCUGAGAGGACGAUCAGCCCGACUGGGACUGAGACACGGCCCAGACUCCUACGGGAGGCAGCAGUUAGGAAUCUUGCGCAAUGGAGGAAACUCUGACGCAGCGACGCCGCGUGCAGGACGAAGUAUUUCGGUAUGUAAACUGCUUUUGCCAGGAAAGAAAUCUGACGGUACCUGGCGAAUAAGCCCCGGCUAACUACGUGCCAGCAGCCGCGGUAAGACGUAGGGGGCGAGCGUUGUCCGGAUUUACUGGGCGUAAAGAGCGCGUAGGCGGCCUGUUAAGUCAGGAGUGAAAUCUCCAGGGCUCAACCCGGAAACUGCUCUUGAUACUAAUAGGCUGGAGUGGCGAAGAGGUGAUUGGAAUUCCCGGUGUAGCGGUGACAUGCAUUGAUAUCGGGAGGAACACCAACGGCGAAGGCAGGUCACUAGUCGCCAACUGACGCUGAGGCGCGAAAGCGUGGGUAGCAAACAGAAUUAGAUACUCUGGUAGUCCACGCCCUAAACGAUGGAUACUAGUCGUCGGGGGUAUCGACCCCCUCGGUGACGUCGCAAACGCACUAAGUAUCCCGCCUGGGGAGUACGGCCGCAAGGUUGAAACUCAAAUGAAUUGACGGGACCCCGCACAAGCGGUGGAGCAUGUGGAUUAAUUCGAUACUAACCGAAGAACCUUACCCAGACUUGACAUCGAUGGUAAGCCGCAGAA